GAUGAACGCUGGCGGCGUGCCUAAUACAUGCAAGUCGAGCGAACGGACGAGAAGCUUGCUUCUCUGAUGUUAGCGGCGGACGGGUGAGUAACACGUGGAUAACCUCCCUAUCAGACUGGGAUCACUUCGGGAAACCGUAGCUAAUACCGGAUAAUAUUUUGAACCGCAUGGUUCAAAAGUGAAAGACGGUCUUGCUGUCACUUAUAGAUGGAUCCGCGCUGCAUUAGCUAGUUGGUAAGGUCACGGCUUACCAAGGCAACGAUGCAUAGCCGACCGGAGAGAGGGAUCGGCGACACGGGAGCUUAGACAGGGACCAGAGUCCUAAGGGAGGCAGCAGUAGGGAAUCGGCGGCAGUGGGCGAAAGCCUGACGGAGCAACGCCGCGUGUGUGAUAAAGAUCCCGGGAGCGUAAAACUCUGUUAUUAGGGAAGAACAGAUGUGUAAGGAACUGAGGAGAGCUUGACGGUACCUGAUCAGAAAGCACCGGCUAACUACGUG
RNAcentral lists this ribosomal RNA (497 nucleotides) under uncultured bacterium. RNAcentral's name for it is "partial 16S ribosomal RNA". It matches the Rfam family "Bacterial small subunit ribosomal RNA", at positions 28 to 507 of the family's 1533-position model. The record is from RNAcentral.